This is a long non-coding RNA of Nyctereutes procyonoides (raccoon dog), 332 nucleotides long. RefSeq lists it as uncharacterized. The transcript is spliced from 4 exons. The record is from RefSeq and is a predicted model, not a curated record. NCBI's taxonomy places the organism in Eukaryota, Metazoa, Chordata, Mammalia, Carnivora, Canidae.
AGAGCCUGAGUAGCCAGGUGGGUAGCUUACAGGCAAGCACAGUUCCAAGAAACAACAACAACAACAACAACAACAAUGACAACAACAACAACAGAACCAAAAAGGAUCUAAGCUUGCCCACAGCAACAAGCACAGACUGAUUGGCUGUCCUCCACUUUCCCCAGAAAAACUUAAAGCAGGGUGACACCAUCUCCAGCUCCAGGGGCAAAUCAUAUUUGAUGUAAGGGUACUUUUGGAAUGGAUGCUUUCAAGUGAGACUGAUGAUUCAACUGCUACUCCAUGUCUUUCAGUUGAAGAAUUUAAGCCAUUUAUAUUUAGAGUAAUUAUUAAAG